AUUGAACGCUGGCGGAAUGCUUUACACAUGCAAGUCGAACGGUAGAGGGGGCAACCCCUUGAGAGUGGCGAACGGGUGAGUAAUAUAUCGGAACGUGCCCAGUCGUGGGGGAUAACGUAGCGAAAGUUACGCUAAUACCGCAUACGAUCUAAGGAUGAAAGCGGGGGAUCGCAAGACCUCGCGCGAUUGGAGCGGCCGAUAUCAGAUUAGGUAGUUGGUGGGGUAAAAGGCUCACCAAGCCAACGAUCUGUAGCUGGUCUGAGAGGACGACCAGCCACACUGGAACUGAGACACGGUCCAGACUCCUACGGGAGGCAGCAGUGGGGAAUUUUGGACAAUGGACGCAAGUCUGAUCCAGCCAUUCCGCGUGCAGGAUGAAGGCCCUCGGGUUGUAAACUGCUUUUGUACGGAACGAAAAGGUUUCUAUUAAUACUAGGAGCUCAUGACGGUACCGUAAGAAUAAGCACCGGCUAACUACGUGCCAGCAGCCGC
RNAcentral lists this ribosomal RNA (492 nucleotides) under uncultured bacterium. RNAcentral's name for it is "bacterial SSU rRNA". It matches the Rfam family "Bacterial small subunit ribosomal RNA", at positions 30 to 518 of the family's 1533-position model. The record is from RNAcentral.